Molecule: small nucleolar RNA, 136 nt
Filed under: Castor canadensis (American beaver)
Lineage: Eukaryota; Metazoa; Chordata; Mammalia; Rodentia; Castoridae
Source: RNAcentral
CCCCUUUUAAAAACACUCGGUGGGCCUUGUGCUAAUGACCCGUUGAGCUGUCAAUAAGGGGAAGAGUAAGAACACAGCUUUUGGGUGAAGUGGCAGUGUGUUGUGUUGUUUUGCUUCAAUCGGUGGUGUGACAAGG